GAACAUCACCCAGAUGAUAUCUCACAGGAUGAACUCUCCGGCAACAUCGUCGGGGAAAAAACCAAAGGGCAGAGAACCCGACGGUGAGCAAGGAAUGCAUCGAGAGCAGAACAUCGCCAACAAUUGGCAGAACAGCUCCUGAUCAUGAACCUAGACAAAGCUUUUGAGGCUGUGCAAAUGCGGCAACACAUGACGCCCCUCGCCACAGUCUCUUCCAUUGACCUCACCACUCGUG
RNAcentral lists this long non-coding RNA (235 nucleotides) under Setaria italica (foxtail millet). RNAcentral's name for it is "long non-coding RNA (SITA_LNC002383)". The record is from RNAcentral. Lineage: Eukaryota; Viridiplantae; Streptophyta; Magnoliopsida; Poales; Poaceae.